RNAcentral lists this unclassified non-coding RNA (243 nucleotides) under plant metagenome. RNAcentral describes it as "partial contains small subunit ribosomal RNA, internal transcribed spacer 1, and 5.8S ribosomal RNA". The record is from RNAcentral.
UCUCCGUUGGAGAACCAGCGGAGGGAUCAUUACCAGAGUUUUACAACUCCCAACUCUUCUGUGAACCUACCUAUCGUUGCUUCGGCGGACUCGCCCCAGCGUCCGGACGGCCCCGCGCCGGCCCGCGACCUGGACCCAGGCGGCCGCCGGAGGCACACAAUCCUGUAUCCAUCGGUCUCUCUGAAUCCGCCGCAAGGCAAAACAAACGAAUCAAAACUUUCAACAAUGGAUCUCUUGGUUCUG